This 253-nucleotide ribosomal RNA is filed under the name uncultured bacterium. Its description in RNAcentral is "partial 16S ribosomal RNA". It matches the Rfam family "Bacterial small subunit ribosomal RNA", at positions 524 to 776 of the family's 1533-position model. The record is from RNAcentral.
UACAGGGGGUGCGAGCGUUAUUCGGAAUCACUGGGCGUAAAGAGCGCGUAGGCGGUUUGCUAAGUCUAAUGUGAAAGCCCUGGGCUCAAUCCAGGAAGUGCGUUGGAUACUGGCAAGCUUGAGUAUAGGAGGGGUGAGCGGAAUUCCCGGUGUAGAGGUGAAAUUCGUAGAUAUCGGGAGGAACAACAGUGGCGAAGGCGGCUCACUAGACUAUUACUGACGCUGAGGCGCGAAAGCGUGGGGAGCAAACAGG